GUCGUCGCGGACGUAGCCAGCCACACAUCUCUUUCGCCCUUAUCCAUCCAACCCCUCCUCACUCUGCAGAGCCUCGCCCCACCACUCUCUCUCCCUCUCCUUCUUCCUCCCCACCACUCAUGGCGUCGUUGCCGGCGGCGAGGCCGGGCAGCCAUGGAUCUGGGAACCUCGCGUCGCGGCUACCCCGGUCGUGCUGCGCGUGGAGGUGCUCUGUCGGCCCGCAUCAGCGGCGCAAGCAUGAGCACCAGGAGGCACCCAGGCCGUGCAUCGAUGAGAAGCUCGCCGCCGUGGCGGCCCCAGUCGCCUCGUGCUUGGACGGCGGCCCGCGUCAGUCAUGCGAACAAGAGCACAGGAGGCCACGAUGGCUGCAAAUGGUGGGGGCGAGGGUUGGGCUCUCCCGGCGUCGCGCGAGUCGUUGAGGGGAGGCGAUGGCUAUGGAUGGCGUCGAGCAGUGGUGGAAGCCGCUCCAGCUUCCGUGCCGCGGCCUCUCAUACUAUCAGGUGCAAGUAGGUCGCCGGCAGGGCUUAGCCCCCUCAAGCAGAUGCGCUGUUGACGAGAACCGCCACCACGCCGGCGAGAGGAGUCGCGCCCUCCACUGGAUCUCGCUGGUGGGAGGAGUCGCGGUGGAGGUGUUGCUCCUGGGGGAAGCGACGACCUGCCUCGCAUGAAUUUGCCAGAGAGGUAGGCGGGGGCGCGGGGAUGGCUGCAGCCACGAGCCGGAGGGUUGGCAAAUAUUGGAGCAGUGAGGUGGUAGUUUAGUGUGGGCAACACGACAUUUUUUGGACAUGGCAAAUUUUGUUUUGGUUCACAAGAAAAUUCAUGUUUGUUUAAUGUCACCACUACUACUUUUGCCAUGCCACAUUGUUUUACCAUGCUAAUUUUGCUAAGCUUUUUGCCCUUGCAAAAAAGUUUAGCACUGACUAUGGCAACUUUAGUUUACUAUUAUCAAAACGGAUGAAAAUUCAUAGUUUUUUUUUGUUUUUUCCAUCAAACUUUACUUUAUAACGAUGGCAAUUGUGCCUUUGUUUUCAAUAUAGCAAAUUUACCUAACUCCCCAUGGCAAUAUUUAACUUUUAUUGCCAUGUCAAGUUUUUAAUAUUUAUUUGCCAUGGCAAAUUUACCUUUAUUAACACGGCAAAUUACAUAAAUCCCCAUGGCAAUAUUUAACUUUUAUUGUCAUGACAAGUUUUACUAUUUAUUUGCCAUGGCUAAUUCAUUUUUAAUAACCUGGUAAUAUUUAACAUUUAUUGCCAUGGCAAGUUUUUAUUAUUUCUUUUCCAUGGCAAAUUUAUCUUUAUUAACAUGGCAAAUUUACUUAAAUCCCGAUGGCAAUAUUUAACUUUUAUUGCCAUGACAAGUUUUUACUAUUUAUUUUUCCAUGGAAAAUUCACCUUUAUGAAAAUGGCAAAUUUAUCUAAAUCAUUAUGGAAAUAUAUGUAAAUUUUGUUAAAAAUACCAUGAUCCUUUUUGCUAUGAAUCUGCUAUGGCAAAUUAUUUUUGUUUGUAUGAUGAAAAUUGCCAUGAUUUUUUUUCUUUUUUUAGGGUUUUUGUUAAAAUAUAUUCUUUUUUACCGCAUGGCAAUUUUUCUGUGUUUGAAAGUCGGUGCAUAUUUUUUACUUAAAAAAAACUGGGAUUUUUUUAUCACGUGAAAAAAUCUGGGCUUUUUCUUCUUUUUUUGCUAUUGGGCUUUUUUGUUUCCAAAUCUGGGCUGCUGGGGAGGCGUUCGGAUUGGAGGGCUUCUCCUCCCGAGGGGAUUGAACUACCGCCUCAUCAGUACUGCAAGAGAUUGGUUACCACUGUACCAAUCGCGUGCUAGUGAUUGUAAGCAGCGCGCCUACUUAAGGAACUAUUGUACACAAAUUCACUAAUUUGAGAAACAAUGCUCACCAAUUAAACGGUUUGAUCAAUUUACCGUUGACUGUUCAAAAAAUAGGUAUAUGUUUUUUAAAAAACCCACAAAUUUAAAAAGGCAUUCACAAGAAAAAGUGCAUAGGUUAAAAAAAGUUGACGAAUUUAAAAGAAAAAAACUCACAAAAAA
Molecule: ribosomal RNA, 2038 nt
Filed under: Triticum aestivum (bread wheat)
Lineage: Eukaryota; Viridiplantae; Streptophyta; Magnoliopsida; Poales; Poaceae
Description: partial small subunit ribosomal RNA
Source: RNAcentral